UACGGAGGGUGCGAGCGUUGUCCGGAAUCAUUGGGCGUAAAGGGCGCGUAGGCGGCGCGGUAAGUCACUUGUGAAAUCUCUGAGCUUAACUCAGAACGGCCAAGUGAUACUGCAGUGCUAGAGUGUGGAAGGGGCAAUCGGAAUUCUUGGUGUAGCGGUGAAAUGCGUAGAUAUCAAGAGGAACACCUGAGGUGAAGACGGGUUGCUGGGCCAACACUGACGCUGAGGCGCGAAAGCCAGGGGAGCAAACGGG
RNAcentral lists this ribosomal RNA (253 nucleotides) under uncultured bacterium. RNAcentral's name for it is "partial 16S ribosomal RNA". It matches the Rfam family "Bacterial small subunit ribosomal RNA", at positions 524 to 776 of the family's 1533-position model. The record is from RNAcentral.